GCCCCCGUAGCCCAAUGGCAGAGGCAGCAGACUUAAAAUCUGCAAAGUGCGGGUUCGAGUCCGGCCGGGGGCA
Molecule: transfer RNA, 73 nt
Filed under: Arcanobacterium canis
Lineage: Bacteria; Bacillati; Actinomycetota; Actinomycetes; Actinomycetales; Actinomycetaceae
Description: tRNA-Leu
Rfam family: tRNA
About the family: Transfer RNA (tRNA) molecules are approximately 80 nucleotides in length. Their secondary structure includes four short double-helical elements and three loops (D, anti-codon, and T loops).
Source: RNAcentral